RNAcentral lists this ribosomal RNA (1484 nucleotides) under metagenome. RNAcentral's name for it is "bacterial SSU rRNA". It matches the Rfam family "Bacterial small subunit ribosomal RNA". The record is from RNAcentral.
AGAGUUUGAUCCUGGCUCAGGAUGAACGCUAGCGGCAGGCUUAACACAUGCAAGUCGAGGGGUAACAGUUCUAAGCAAUUAGAAGCUGACGACCGGCGCACGGGUGCGUAACGCGUAUGCAACCUACCUUUAACUGGAGAAUAACCCGGAGAAAUUCGGACUAAUACUCCAUAAGAUCUUAGAAAGGCAUCUUUUCGAGAUUAAAGAUUUAUCGGUUAUAGAUGGGCAUGCGUGACAUUAGUUUGUUGGUGAGGUAACGGCUCACCAAGACUACGAUGUCUAGGGGUUCUGAGAGGAUUAUCCCCCACACUGGUACUGAGACACGGACCAGACUCCUACGGGAGGCAGCAGUGAGGAAUAUUGGUCAAUGGGCGAAAGCCUGAACCAGCCAUGCCGCGUGCAGGAUGACGGCCCUAUGGGUUGUAAACUGCUUUUAUAUGGGAAGAAACCUUCGUACGUGUACGGAGCUGACUGUACCAUAAGAAUAAGCACCGGCUAACUCCGUGCCAGCAGCCGCGGUAAUACGGAGGGUGCAAGCGUUAUCCGGAUUUAUUGGGUUUAAAGGGUGCGUAGGCGGAUCAGUAAGUCAGUGGUGAAAUCUCUCGGCUCAACCGAGGAACUGCCAUUGAUACUGCUAAUCUAGAGUUUAGUUGAAGUAGGCGGAAUGUAGCAUGUAGCGGUGAAAUGCAUAGAUAUGCUACAGAACACCGAUUGCGAAGGCAGCUUACUAAGCUAAAACUGACGCUCAGGCACGAAAGCGUGGGGAUCAAGCAGGAUUAGAUACCCUGGUAGUCCACGCCGUAAACUAUGAUCACUCGUUGUUGGCGAUACACUGUCAGCGACUGAGCGAAAGUAUUAAGUGAUCCACCUGGGAAUUACGAUCGCAAGGUUGAAACUCAAAGGAAUUGACGGGGGCCCGCACAAGCGGUGGAGCAUGUGGUUUAAUUCGAUGAUACGCGAGGAACCUUACCUGGGCUUAAAUGUUAGAUGACCUCUCGAGAAAUCGGGAUUCCCUUCGGGGCAUCUUACAAGGUGCUGCAUGGUUGUCGUCAGCUCGUGCCGUGAGGUGUUGGGUUAAGUCCCAUAACGAGCGCAACCCCUAUUCUUAGUUGCCAUCAGGUAAUGUUGGGGACUUUAAGGAAAUUGCCUACGUAAGUAGUGAGGAAGGUGGGGAUGACGUCAAAUCAGCACGGCCCUUAUGUCCAGGGCUACACACGUGCUACAAUGGCCGGUACAGAGGGAAGCUACCUGGUGACAGGAUGCAAAUCUCGAAAACCGGUCUCAGUUCGGAUUGGAGUCUGCAACUCGACUCCAUGAAGCUGGAAUCGCUAGUAAUCGCACAUCAGCCAUGGCGCGGUGAAUACGUUCCCGGGCCUUGUACACACCGCCUGUCAAGCCAUGGAAGUUGGGGGUACCUAAAGUCCGUAACCGCAAGGAGCGGCCUAGGGUAAAACCAAUAAUUGGGGCAAAGUCGAAAUAAGGUA